RNAcentral lists this ribosomal RNA (227 nucleotides) under uncultured bacterium. RNAcentral describes it as "partial 16S ribosomal RNA". It matches the Rfam family "Bacterial small subunit ribosomal RNA", at positions 103 to 334 of the family's 1533-position model. The record is from RNAcentral.
CGGGUGAGUAAUGUCUGGGAAACUGCCUGAUGGAGGGGGAUAACUACUGGAAACGGUAGCUAAUACCGCAUAAUGUCGCAAGACCAAAGAGGGGACCUUCGGGCCUCUUGCCAUCGGAUGUGCCCAGAUGGGAUUAGCUAGUAGGUGGGGUAACGGCUCACCUAGGCGACGAUCCCUAGCUGGUCUGAGAGGAUGACCAGCCACACUGGAACUGAGACACGGUCCAG